CCUGGGGUGCCCGCAGGGGAGCCCUAGCACAGGUGCUGCAUGGCCGUCGUCAGCUCGUGCCGUGAGGUGUUGGGUUAAGUCCCGCAACGAGCGCAACCCCGCCGUUAGUUGCCAGCGGUUCGGCCGGGCACUCUAACGGGACUGCCCGCGAAAGCGGGAGGAAGGAGGGGACGACGUCUGGUCAGCAUGGCCCUUACGGCCUGGGCGACACACGUGCUACAAUGCCCACUACAAAGCGAUGCCACCCGGCAACGGGGAGCUAAUCGCAAAAGGUGGGCCCAGUUCGGAUUGGGGUCUGCAACCCGACCCCAUGAAGCCGGAAUCGCUAGUAAUCGCGGAUCAGCCAUGCCGCGGUGAAUACGUUCCCGGGCCUU
This 374-nucleotide ribosomal RNA is filed under the name uncultured Thermus sp. Its description in RNAcentral is "bacterial SSU rRNA". It matches the Rfam family "Bacterial small subunit ribosomal RNA", at positions 1007 to 1382 of the family's 1533-position model. The record is from RNAcentral. Lineage: Bacteria; Thermotogati; Deinococcota; Deinococci; Thermales; Thermaceae.